UUAUCUAAAGAUAUGAGAGCAGAAAGAAAGAGGAAGAGGGGGGAAGAAAAGGAGAUUUUUUUUUAAAGGAAACACAAAGCUAUUGUUUGGAUGUCAUUCUCACACAUGGCAGAAAUUUCCAUUCGGGUAUAAUGGCAUCAAUUUGUUCUUUUUUCCCUCCUCUCUGGUCCCCACACCGCAUGCAAAAAUGAUCAUCAUCAACAUUCUCCUUAUCACUUUACAGAUAUGCCCCUCUCAAGAUUGCUUUAGAGGAAAAGAAAAAAAAACAGAAUGGAUACCAAAACCGAUGAAAAAGCGGAGUUCAUAAAUCACUGAGGCUUUAUUGGGUUCUACUUCAAAGUAUGUUUGGGCCUGGAAGCAAUAUAAAAGAGUUACCUAAGUCCCAAUAAUUCACAAUUGCAUUAGGUCCUCUGGCACCUCCAUAGAUUCUCAAAGAAAAAAGAAAAAGCCCAUGUAUCGGAAAUACAUGAGUGAACAGGUGGGAUACUGUGCAUAUGGCAUAACUCAGUCUGAUACUGAAUAUCGCACAUGAGGAAAACAGCAGCACUGAAGCAGCGCUGUUGGAGAAUUAUAGGUGAUGGGAAACAAAAUGAAACAGUGGUCUGUGCGUGUCGGUGAUAUAGGAAACCUGGAGUUAGCAAGCGGCAGCCCGCUGUGUAGGAAGAAGAAGAAGAGUGUUUCAGAAACUCGUUUCCUCUCGAGCAUGACUGCAGCUGGCCAAUUUACAAGCAGCAUGAAUAAUGCACAGACAGUUGGCCGAGAGCUGCUGUCCUCGCCGUUUUCUGCCACAAACGAUGGACAGGAGCUCGUUGGAAACAGGCAACAGGAGUUCAGUCUGAUGCCUUAAUAAUGCCAGUGGAGGGGAGGAAGCCCUGAACGCUGCCCUCGUGCAGAAUAACCGCCUCCAUUUCUGCUGAGACGAGUCCGAUGUGUUUAAUUAACGGGUCAAAUCUGGAGGUCAGAGGUGGUUCUGCUGCUCCUCAGGCUGAUUACUGAAUGAAACCCUGCUGCUUUAUGUCCUCUAGGAGCUGACAUCCACGCUAGGUCUGUGCAACCAGCAUUGCUUCAUGUUUAAAGCCCUGACAGUCCAAGUGAAUAACUUUCCUGUAAUGAUAUAAUGUUUUGCUGGGAAACCUUGGCUCUUGGUAUUUAUGUGGAUGUUAUUUUGACGUGUACAACCCAACUAAUGGGUCAACGUGCCCCACAACUCCACAAAAACUGCUCAAUAAUGGCUCAAAGGAUACAACAACAAGACCAAACUGCUGACCCGGCCUUCAAAUUCUGUAGACUCCAAUCAAAUCAUGGAUCUAUUUCAGUCCACGGAAGUGUAUAUAAUCCACAGGACCCAACAGAUCUACAACCAAUGUUUUGCUUCCUGACACUCCUAAAAGUCCUGCGUUGUUGGCACAAGGUGGAUCUACACAAUAUUAAGCAGGUGGUUUUAAUGUUGUGGCUACUUGAGUCAAAUGGCAGUCACUGAAAAACUGUCAUACACAUGUUAAGCAGGUAGAGGAGGUCCUCGGUUUACGAUGUCCUUGACUUCCGUUUUGCUGUUGCGUCAGAACUGAUUACGGCCUGAUCCUUGGUUUAAUGUACUGGGUUUCGUCGUUACGUUGGAACUGGUUCAGGGGAACUAGUUGGUGAGCGGAGUGGACGAAUACGUCGUCAUGCGGCGAGCAGAGCGGAUGACUAUGUAGUCAUACGGCACUAUAAGAAGGCUUUGUUUACAUUGUUCUCCACAUUGGAUUAUGCUACAUUCGCUAGCUUCAUUUUGGCUCCCAAGCAUAAGUCAGAGUUACAGUUUACAUUUUCAUCCAUGUUUUCCUACCGAGUUGUGUUUCAGUGCGAGCUAAUGUUUGUCGUUUCUGUAGUUGUGCAAGUAAAUUAAAUGAUAUCGUGAUGCACGUAACGGCUUUUAUUUUAUUUGUAUACAUUUUCGCCGGAGUUCCGAUUUACGCCGGAGUCCAGAUUUACGCCGAAAAUUGACUUACAUCCCACCGCAGAAAAUAUACAAAUUUAGGAAGCUGGGGGGGACGACAGAUUUUUUAAAAACUAUUUUCCUUAAAAAAUUAUGCAAAUUGAUGAAUCAGCAAUGAAAAUAGUUAGCGGUUAUUUAAACAGUUGACGACUCUUUGAUUAAAUGUUACAGCUCCACAUCGUGGAGGGUUCAUCCAUUUUCAUACACAGUCCUGAGACCAAUAUGUCUCCAAAAUCUCAUUGCAGACCAUUUAAUAAUUGUUGACAAAUUUCAGCCCGGGCCACUGUGGUGAGCUGGCAGACAUUUGUUGCCAAUCACACGGCUCCCGCAGCUAAUACCCACUUUAUAUUAUUCACAUUAUACGACAAUGCUGCAAUCAUUUACACAGCGAGAUGCGAUAUGAACUUCCCCUGCAACACAUCUGAGGCGUCAUCUCCAAUUUCUGCCCUUGAGAAACGAGUAGCCACUGAUUGGUCCUCCUCACAUUCUGCCAGACGUGUUUAUUUUCCUCUUUUUACCUCCUUCAUCUCAUUGAUAUGCCACUGCCAGUCUUUCCAAGUGUGUGUGCCAGCAUAAGCGUGCGUACAUGAUGUUUUGUGUUAGGUCCCAUAAACACAGAACACUCAUUUCUCUCUGCUUGGCGCCUGAGGCAGAAUAAUAACAGGAUGCUCUCAAAGGAAAAACCUUUCUCUCUCUUUUUUCUCCCCUCACCAACAGAAACUCUCACCAUCAUUUCCUGCCUCUCUCAUGGACUAACAGCGAGCGCUUGGUGAAGCACCAGGCAGGUAAAUCUCGCUCUCAUUUGGCGAGCCUCCGAGGAGGGCUGUUGGGGCUCCCUGGUCCUCCCUCGGCCUUUGGAUGGUUAAAAACAAGCCAUUUUUUGCUCUAGAUACGCUAAAAAGUGUGCAUACUGUCUGUGUCAGCUGAAAACUUUGCAAUUCCUGCUAUUCUUGAGGUCUUCCGGUGGAUUUUGUCUGCAGCUCUAAGGUUGAAAAGCUCCACAACCGACCACAUCCUACAUAAAAAAAUGAAUAGAGAGAAGGGGGGAAAAAAUGACAACACGACAAGGUUUGAACACUGCAGCUGUAAUAGGAGUGCAGCUGUGCCUGCGGGGCAACACGGGCUGACGCAGUCUUUCACACCCUGAUAAAACAGCUUAGUCACCGAACCCCGGAACCCUCAGGCUGAGGUCAAGGACAUGAAACAAAUGCACACACACAGCCAUGAUGAUGAAUUUAGCAUCUGCUGUCUACACAAACACCUUGUUGUUCCCUCACAUCCUGCCCCAUCUCGUUCCUGCAUUAACACGGCGGAUAUCUGAUUCUAUAAAACCGCUACCGGAGUGAUAACGGGCGCUCACAAAUAUAUCACAAUUCAGUCGAAGCAAUACUGUACGCUGCACAGAUCUAGACAAGACCGUGCUCCCUGAUAAGGAUUCCCAAACAGCCGGCGUCAUCGCAAAGCCGACAUGGAAAUACGCGGUCAGUCGCAGGCGGAGGAGGGAACACAAACAAGGAAUAAACAAGACCUCGGAAAGCCGGAGUAUGGUGAGGUGAUGGGCAUCCAACGAGGGAGUAAAGAGGACAAAGAAGCUUCAGUUCUUGCAGCCAGAAACUCAGAUAAGAUUACAACAAGGUAAUUGGAGCAGCAGCAUUUUUUUUUCCCCCAGUGUCCUUUAAUGUGGUGCGAGGAGAAUAAGAGCAGGCUUUUUUUGAAAUGAUGGCGCAAAAUAGCAUUGAGAGGAUGAUGUACUUUAAUUCAGUAUGAUGGAGAAACGGUGGGGGGACAUGUCCAAUUAGGUCGCUAUGGAAACGCUCCACCUUCUCCACUUCCUCUCCCUCUGUCACUCUCCCCUUCGCUCGUCCUGCCGUCACCAUAAUGGCGCUCUCAAUGGCCGUACCCGUUGGGCUGUUACGUCAUUUGCGGGAGUAAUUGUUCCCGCGGUCAAUUUCUCGAUAGAGCAGCCGGGGCGCGGUGCUGCUGCUUCGGUGUCCCUGGAGUCGACCAGUCGAUGGAGGCCUGUCUGUCAGCCGGAGGAUGUGAGUCGGGGGAGCACUGGAGGGAGCUGGCUGGAGUUUUAAUGUGUCACUGUUUCCAUGUGGAUGUGACCUCGCAGGCACUGUUGUAGGAAGGCAUUUAAAGGGUCAGUUCACCCAAAGUAAGGAAACAGAAAUCCUGCAAAGAGUUACUGAGUUCACACUGUGAGUUAGAGAUGUCCUGUUCUUUUUGCCUCCAACCCAAUCCAAGUCUUUUCAAAUUUAGUCUCUAGGAUGCAAAGUCCCAAUGUGAUACCAUUUCCUUAGCUAGAAUAUGGUCAAGUGUACUAUUCGCAUGGGAUUACUAGUACCUAAUUUGUGAAUUAACCCCACGUCUGUGUUUCUUGCAGUGCAUUUGCACGGGAUAAGCAAAGUCUAUAUUUUACUUAAAUUUACUGACGUUACAGCCUGGAUUUGAUGUCAAAUCUGUGCAACACUUUAUGUCCUUCAGCUCAACCUAAAAUAUUUAAUUCAAAGCCACAACUUGUUCGAUCCCUUUCUGACACCUGUAUGGCAGCAGAUGAAAACAAAGGCUCAGGCUUAGAUUGGUAACAGUACCGACCACUUGAAAAUGCCGUGAUCAACUCUAUCUUGACCUCAGAUAAUCAUCAAACUCCACUUGAUAUGAGGCAGAAUUCAUAGCUGGAUCAAUAGCAACGCCAAGCCGUUAUAUAUCCUCCCCCAUGUUGUCUUUGGUCUGCUCCAAAAUGUCUCCUGCUGCCGUGGCCAAACAACUCUAUCUUUGAUUUGUGUCGAGAGCACAUUAUUCCAAAAAGCCUGGCGCUCACUGGCAAACUGUAGUUUUUUUGUAAAGAUCUUUUUUGGUCAACGAAGGUCUUUUUCCUGGAUGGCCUCCCAUGCAGGUCAGAUUUGUGAAAGUUCUGAUUAUAGACACAGCACUUUGACAUCAACAACUGCCGGAGUUACCGGCUCUGGGCAGCCAUUUCUGGACAAAUCUGCAAUCUUGAAUUUUAAAAGUCUUUUUAAAUCCCUUGCCAAACCUACAGGCAUCCACAAUGUCUUUUUGCCUGAAGGUCUUCGGCCUUGAUUAUACCUCCCUGUGGACGUACACUUUGACAGUUGCAGACACCAACAGUAGUUGUAAAUAGAUGAGUUUCAUGAAUGCUCAGUAGAAGAGCAUGAAGGCAGAGGUCUGCAGAGGGGUCUUUGUGGACUCUUAUUGGAUAAAGGAAAGCUUGGAAACUCACAGAUGCAGAAAGUAUAACAUUGGCCUAAGAUUGUGAUUUAGAUGUUGGCACAGUGACACCACUCACUAGUGUUCACGGAAGUUUUAAAUAAGACCGGUUCCACCUCUCACUUCCUAAGAAGGAUCUAGUCGAAGCACCUCAUCCGCACUCUCUGAUUCUAAUUUGUUGGAUUUGAGAGUCUAAUAAAUGCAAGAGUAUACUUACUAUUCAAAAUGCUACAGAUUGGUUUUUAUAUUAAACUCAUCGACAUGAUAGAAAUAACUACUAUAAAUGUCACCUUUAUCUGUUUAGUUGGGUUUCAGAGGAUAAAUCGUUUGCUCGUUUGAACACAUUUUGAAAAAAAUUCUACAUUUUCCAUCAGUUACCACUUUUUUCACGUCUCUCAACAAAUUAGGAUUUUUCUGCAUCAGAUAUUCUAUUUGUUUAUGUUUUCUUGCAAAAUCCCAUUUUUUAAACAUCUGUAGAAUUUUAAAAUUAUAAAAACACAAUCUGAUCUACAUCCUGUAUGGGUUUGGUUUGAUCUGAAUGUGGUUAAAAGUUGUCUGUGGUUGCCAAUCAAAUCUGAUCAAGUUUUUCAGUGUCAAAUUACACAUUCAAUGCUGCAAAGUCUGUUGCUUACUUAGUUAUGAAUAUUUUAAUGCUUAAUUCGAAUAAACAUUUCCUCAUUUGUUCUCCCACUAUCAGUGCUUCCAUUUCUCCACAGAAACUGCUGCAAACAGUUUUGUUAAAGCAGAAAUGAGUUAAUUUAAAAUGGAGAGGAAAGGGGGAAAAGUCAAGAAAGGGCUCAUAUAUCAUGUUAUGUCAUGAAGGAAAAUCUAUAGUCUACAGCAGUGCUAAUGGCUCUAUGGGACUGUACAUUGGAACAGCGGUGCUUUACGCUAAAUGCUAACGUCAGCAUGCUAAUAUGCUCAUAAUGCUUUGGACAGCAGUCUUAGUUUAGCACGUCAGCAAGGUAACAUUUGACAACAAGCACAAAGCAGGGCCGAGUUGCUACGGUAUGUCAUUAGUCCUGCAGGUAUUCAGUCAGAAGCAAAGUGAACAAACUGGAAAAGUAACACAACUCAUUCACACGAGUUUCUGUGCUCAGUUUUGAUGACAACCCCCCCCCCCCCACAGAUAAAUUAAUAUUUAGUUUUUUAAGCUUUUUAACAUCUAUUUAUGGUGUUUUUUUGCUAGACCACACAUCAUAAACAAUCUAUGCCAUGGCUGAGCAAAUUCAGCGCACUGAUGACGGUCUCAAAAAGCAAGAUUUAGAUUUUCAGGGUUUCUUACAUCACAUAUCAAAUGAACCAAUCCUUGCAGGGCAGGACUGACUGCAUAGUUAUUCUUCUCUUUAGAAUUGUUUUUUGCUCCCAUCAUGUAUGGCUGAAUUAUUUUACAACUUGCUGUUAUGUAGCAUUGAAUAGUUUGGCGGUGUUUGAGAAGAGUUGUAGGUGAGCUGGUGCGCUCGAGCUGCAGGCAACCAUGCAGGUUUACAAUAUUUUACAUAUUUCAAGGCCUGAAGGUUAUUAUUUCUAUUGAAAAAAACUUCUAAAUAUGUAACACUGGUGCACAAAGAAGUUUUUAGGAGUUAAAUCAACAACCAGAGAGGGAAUUUAAAGCAUGUAAAGACACUCUAGUAGACUGCCAAAAUAAAAUUAUAAAUGUACAAAUGCUCGUUUCAAAAAAAAAAAAAAAAUAAGGGGGCAGGAAACUGUGUGGGAGAUUCACUUCUCUGAAAUGUAUCUGGUGCGAAAAAGCACAUACUCCAUUUGGAAGGUAUUGCCAUCACAAAUAGAACGAAAUUGCCUUUGAGAAGUUUAGUGCUUGAAUAAAGAAGCCAGAUGGACGCAAGGAUUUUCUAUAGUUUGCAAAUCUGACAAAAAAACUUUGGGAAGGUUUGUUUGCCUACACUUGCAUCGCAGUUCCAGCAGAGAGGAUAUAGAGGUCUAUGGAUUUUUCUGGCGUAACAAUGACACUUUUAAAAACUUGUUGCAUGCUGUAUUUUCCCUUAAAUGUCAUCUUUCUGUGCUGCGGGCGCCACAAACUAAAUUCCCUUUCACCUCCGUUGUGCUGAGGUGGAGGCAGAAAUUGCGGAGACAGAUAUCUCAAAACCUUGGCAUUUUGAUAAUUUGGGUGAACUGACCUUUUAAGAAUGAAGCAAUGAGACUUCAUAAAUAGGUUAGUGUGGGCGCUCGGUAAACAGCCGGCUCGCCAGACGGACAGGCAGACAUAUUGAAGACAAAGGAAGAUGUAGAUGAACGAAGUCGUAAAGUGUCUCAAUAAUUUUUUUUUUUUUUUGAAGGGGGACUAUUUUUGGCAUGAGUAAUAUUAUUUUUCACUCUGCGAGAGAUAGGAAGUCAGUCCUGAUAAGUGUUUGUGAAACCCAUUUGCAGUCCAUGCGGGAGACAGUCCAUGCAGAGGGAAAACACACACCCAGAGCCGGAGUUUGCACACACACACACACACACACACACACACACACACACACACACACACACACACACACACACACACACACACACACACACACACAUAUAUACACAAGCCCUAGAGGACGCACACGGCUGUAUUUGUGUCAGUCGAUAAGACGGUGCUGAGAGACGAAGGGGGUAAGUGCACAGAGGGGGGAGACAGAGACAGAGAGAGGGAGAUGCACAGAGAGAUUAGAGAUGGAGAGCAGUGGAGGGAGGCGGAGGGUUUGUUGGAGAGGCGCUCCCCACCGGCUCACUAAAAUCAUCACUGGCCCAAUUUCACAGGAAGCUCUAAAACCCGUCCAUUAUCUCCUGGCUCGUUGGCUGUCAGACGCAGCCUCAUCGACGCCCCUGACAGAUGACGGUCUGUCUGUCUGUCUGAGCCUCACAAACGUGCAAGAAGACAAUGCGUGCACAAGUGAAGUAACCUCCUGGCUUGUUGCAUAAUUCAUGCGCCGUGUACCUGCAGCCCCGGGGGAAGUACGGUUGAUAUGAGGUAAGCAGAGGUUGCGUCUAGUUCUUUGAGCGUGCCAGACUUCUCCCUCAUUUCUUCUCUGCCAGCUGCUCUAAUACCAUUCAGCUCUCACCCCAAACAUCCAUGUUACAUAAUCAUCUUUUUUUUUUUUUCUCCCCCUCGCAGCAGUCCCAGCACUGAAAAGGCACUAAUAACAGAGAGCAAGUUUCUGGGCAACAGUGCUGAAGGAAGUGCCUCCGCACUGGAGCUGUAAUGACAGAAGAACAACUUCUUGUCAGAAAACAUUUGAAUUUAAAUGUGUUUUUGACCCCGUGUUUCUGUCUGACGCUCGCUGCAGCAGGAUUUCUUAAAAUAAUUUUUUAGCCUUAUUAGGACUAUAGACACUCGGGCAACAAGGGAAGAGAAGUACAGUGCCUAUAGAAGGUUUUGAAUCUUGGUCAAUUCAAUUAGUUUGGACAAGAAUUUAAAAGAGAAGAUUCUUCUGUGUCAAGAAGAAAACGCAGAAUAAGCAUUGCAAAGUAUAUACCCCCUUUAGCAGAUGCACUUUUGCCCACAUUACAGCAUUGAGCCUGUGUGGGUAGGUCUCAAUCAGCAUUGCACAUCUGGAUGCUGCAAUUUUAUCCAAUUCUUCAUUGCAAAACUGCUCAAAGUCUGUCAGGUUACACCAAGAUGGUGAUUAAACAGUCGUUUCAAGUCUAGCCAUAAAUUUUCAGUUGUAUUGAGUUCUAGGCUUUGACUUGGUCACUCCACAACAUUCACCUUGUUGUCUUUAAACCAUUUCUAUGUUGCUUUGGCUGUUUUCUCCAGGUUAUUGUCUUGCUUGAAAACAAAUGUUCUCCUAAGUCGCUCUUCUUUUGCAAACUGCAUCAGGUUGGCCUCCAGGAUUUCCCUUUACACUGAUGAAUUCAUUUUACCCUCUACCUUUACAAGCCUCCCAGGGCCUGAUGCUGAGAAGAAACACCAACAUCACCAUGCUUCAUAUCAUGAUGCUGCCACCACCAUGCUUCACAUCAUGAUGCUGCCACCACCGUGCUUCACAUCAUGAUGCUGCCACCACCAUGCUUCACAUCAUGAUGCUGCCACCACCGUGCUUCACAUCAUGAUGCUGCCACCACCGUGCUUCACAUCAUGAUGCUGCCACCACCACUGUUCCCUCUAAGAUGCGCGCAUGUGCAAUUGCGCACUGCUGACACGCUCUCCGCGCACAGAAAAUCUGCGCUGCGCAAAAAAAAAAAAAAUCCAACCUAAAUUGUAAAUAAAAUGAACACGUAACAAUUCAUUCUGUGCUAUUUUUCAAUGUGAGUCAGUGAGUGACCGGUGACUGGCUGCUGCAGCCAAUGAUGCGAUUCACAUACGUAUUUACCAUAGACUGUAUAUAAUGGUAUUUACACAGCUAAUCAACGUCAGGCGUCCUUAUGUGCAGCCAUCGUUGUUCUCAUAGAUAUGAAUGAGUAGAUAGGACACGCCCCUUUGAGCUGCGUGCUACAGCGAGGCUAAGCUAGUGGGGGAAAAGUUUCAGUGUAUUCUGUUGAUGUAGACGGCGUGAAAACGGAAACAAGUAUGCCGGCUCACUGUGCUGCAUACAAUUACACACUGCGUCGUACGAUUGAGACAAGGAAACUUGGAAUGACUUUUCAUAGGUAAGAAUAGUUUUUGGCUCUUUUUUCAUUAUGAAAUCUUGUUGAGAGCUUCCAGUCUAUGAGAGCUAACUAGUUAGCCACUAGCAAAACGCUAAGGCGAGCUAGCAGCUUGACAACCAAAUACCAGACAAUUAAUAGUAGCUGUAGUAUAGUUGUACAAGCAGUAGUAGUAAUACUAAAAGUACAAGCAGCAGUAGUAGUAUAAACAGCUGUUAGAGUCAUAGAAGUAGUAUCAGCAUUUGUAAUAGUAUUACAAGUUGUAGUAGCAGUGCCAGUAUCAGCAGAAGUAAUUUGUGUACUACCACUACUACUGGUAGUAGUCACAUUACUAUUACUACCAUCAAUACAACCAAUAGUAGUUAUAAAGCCUAACUCAUGUAUAUCCAGAUUACCAUCUAUGUUCUUCCUCCAAACCCAUUUUAUGAUUGGGAUUACAGGCAGUUCUUUAGGACUGCUCUCAAAUAAUUGAAAUGUUACUAAACAAGGUUAUACUUAUCAAAUAGCUCUGGUCUCCAGUAUAUUGGCGAAUUCGGUUCUUUGUACUUAAUUUAUUAGCAUGAUUUUUUUUUAAUAUGUUGUGUACAGACUUAAUUACUCCUCUGUCAACUUUUUUUUUUUGUCUGCAUUUGUUCUCAUUGUUUAACUCCACAAAAGAGGUGUCAACAUUGUAUGAGAUUGAUGCAUAGUUUAGUCUUGCAGCCAAAUAUUUUAAUAUUUAGUGCAUGUGUGUGACCAUCACCGGCCCUCCCUGAAAGCUAAGCAGAUAUUCUUUAUUAGAAUUUCCUAUUAUGAGCCAGGGAGAUGCUGUGGAGACCCGAGAUGCUGUGAGAUCGCGAGAUUCAGUGAGAGUGACGAAAUUCAACAUGGCGGCUCCCAGCUGCUAGAUGAGAAGUUUCCCAGAGACUAUGGGUUGAGGAGGAAUUGGAAGUUUGUCGGCUUAGACCUGGUGUCAUUCCAUCAGUGUUAAACUUCCCGGCUCAUCUUGGAAGAGUACGUGCCAGAAAGACCACGACCAAGCAGCCUUGAGAUCUUAGGCAGCGUCUCCCUGAGCCACCAACCACUGGAACACAUCUCCAAAGUUCUGCCGGGCCAGCUCAGCUUCCCCUCAGAAGAAGUGCUGCCACCUGCCAGAUGAAGGAGCCUUUUGAGAGGCAGCUGGCAUCGUGAUUGGACUGUACUUUGGUCUGUUCCAAUCCAGCUUCAGCUCCAGAGACGGCAGGCGGGACGAGUCAACGGAGGCCGGGUGGACGAAGGCAUGCAGCUGAGUACAAUCCAGAAAACAACAGAGGAGGAGUGCAGCAGCCCAGAGCCAGAACAAACAGAGUAGCAUCGUAUGUCUCUUAGAAAACAUCAUAGUAUAGCCUUUGCUAUGAAAAAAUGGCAUCAUAUACAUCGUAUAUUGUACAAAUAACAAGUCAAAGGAAAGAGACAUACAUUGUAGAAUUGUAGUAAUUGUGGGCUGACUGAUUUACUGAUUAUCAGUAUUUUAUUUUUUACUGAUUUACGGUAAUAAAUACAUUUAAAAAUGGUGCUAA
Amphiprion ocellaris (clown anemonefish) is the source of this 11325-nucleotide long non-coding RNA. RefSeq lists it as uncharacterized. The record is from RefSeq and is a predicted model, not a curated record. The transcript is spliced from 3 exons. Lineage: Eukaryota; Metazoa; Chordata; Actinopteri; Pomacentridae.